GUUUUGUGUCUGUUGUGCGAUUAUUAUUCAUAUAAUGUUAGUAUUCAAUGUUGUCUGACUAUAUAUUCAGACAACAAUUUUUCUAUGUCUGUUGUGCAACUCUCCUUCCGACAAUAAUUGUGUGUGUUUCUGUUAUCUAAAUUUUUAAACGCUGCUGCCCUAAUUGAAUUCCCACAUUUAGCCAAAAUUCAAUUUUUCGACUCCCUCCAUUUCAAUAAAUAACACGAAGUCGUUUUAGCACUUGGCCAAAAUUCCCACACUUAUACUCGUCUCCACUCUCUCUAUCUCUCUCUCACACACACAUUAAGACCAGAAGGAUUUCUCAGACACCAAAUGCCGUCGGCGACGGAAGAACCCAACACGAUGACGUCCUCGACGAUGAUGAUGAUCGACGAGAUUUAUGAGUUCUCAGCCCCGCGCUUCUUCGAUUUCAUCAAGGACGAGACUGACGACGACAAGAUCAAGGCCGAGCUUUGGUUCGAUUCCCUUCCCGUGACGGACGCGACGGACGGGAAGAGGUAUUUUGGCCUUCGCCUUAUAUAUAAAGAUAUAGACAGUAGUCAUGGAUAGAUAGAUGAUAACACUCCACCUUAAUGAAUGAUGGUGAUUGAUUGAUAUAAAGUAUGCUCUUUUCUCCAUUGUUGUUUCAAAUGAAUCUCUCGUAUAGACUCUACUGAGGGAGAGAGGGAGGGAGAGGAAGAGGGAUUUGAUUGGCAUUCAUAAGCUGCUUGCUGAACCUCCCAAUCAUCUUACAUACCCUUAAUCAAAACCUCCGAAUUGUCCACUUUAACCGUCGAUGGCCAAGAGAAGCGCCUCUCCUGAGUGGUUCCAUUGCAACCCAUUUACUGACAUUCAGGGGAUUCGACGUUCGAUAAAAUUCGAAGUAAUAUUUCAUCGAGACUAACCUUUCUCAAAAGUAGUUCUUUAAGAAACAAGCUUAACCUUUUUCUGCCAGAAAACAAAAUCUCCCCUUUCUUCUCCUCCUGAAGCUUCUCUUAGCCCUGUUUACGUCAGUCAAUUUGCAUGCCUUAAUACACCUAUAUCUAAGCCUCUGAUCGAAAAACGUUCUUCAUCAAAGUUGUUCAUCAUCAUCUCUUCUAUAACAUAUCCAAAAAUCAGUGCGAUCAGAUCUGUAAUGAAGUCUGUAAAUCGAUCUGAGUAGAGGUUGGUCAGAAAUCAGCAGAUUUCGAGUUUCAGCUUUUCUUUAUCCUCUUUCCUUAUCAGGAUUCCUCAAAUUCAUUUGGAAUUAAUUCCAUUAAGAGGUCUUACUAUCUUGGCUAUCUGGGCUUCACUUCAGAAUGCAGUGGUAUUUCAUGACUUCAUGAUUGCUACUACUGGGAAGUACUGGCAGUGCUGCUCAAAACCAGCAUAUGUUGCAUAGAGCAUGAGGAGACCCAGCUACAGCGGGAGGGUUCUAAAUAUACUAAUGCUGCUAUUCUUAGAUGUUCAUUAUGUUUUUGGCCUUUAUGUUUAGGGGUAUAUAUAUAGGCAGGGUUAAUUAAUAUAUAUUAAUGUUGGGAUGAACAUACUAUU
Molecule: long non-coding RNA, 1533 nt
Organism: Rosa rugosa (rugosa rose)
Lineage: Eukaryota; Viridiplantae; Streptophyta; Magnoliopsida; Rosales; Rosaceae
Exons: 3
Source: RefSeq, a predicted model, not a curated record